Molecule: ribosomal RNA, 484 nt
Filed under: uncultured bacterium
Lineage: Bacteria
Description: partial 16S ribosomal RNA
Rfam family: Bacterial small subunit ribosomal RNA
Source: RNAcentral
GACGAACGCAGGCGGCGUGCUUAACACAUGCAAGUCGAACGAUGAAGCCGGAGCUUGCUCUGGUGAAUUAGUGGCGAACGGGUGAGUAACACGUGAGUAACCUGCCCUUGACUCUGGGAUAACUGCGGGAAACUGUAGCUAAUACCGGAUACGACCCUCGGAGGCAUCUCCUGGGGGUGGAAAGAAUUUCGGUCAAGGAUGGACUCGCGGCCUAUCAGCUAGUUGGUGAGGUAAAGGCUCACCAAGGCGACGACGGGUAGCCGGCCUGAGAGGGUGACCGGCCACACUGGGACUGAGACACGGCCCAGACUCCUACGGGAGGCAGCAGGGGGGAAUAUUGCACAAUGGGCGCAAGCCUGAUGCAGCAACGCCGCGUGAGGGAUGACGGCCUUCGGGUUGUAAACCUCUUUUAGCAUGGAAGAAGCGAAAGUGACGGUACCUGCAGAAAAAGCACCGGCUAACUACGUGCCAGCCGCCGCCGUAA